This 94-nucleotide transfer RNA is filed under the name bioreactor metagenome. RNAcentral's name for it is "tRNA-Ser". The record is from RNAcentral.
CGCCAGCUGGCCGAGCGCGGCUGUGCCGCUGCGCUGCUGGCGCAGAUGGAGGACGGGCUCGAUGCGAUCGACGAUCUUCUCGUCGGGCGGGUGU